This 280-nucleotide ribosomal RNA is filed under the name [Ruminococcus] lactaris ATCC 29176. Its description in RNAcentral is "partial 16S ribosomal RNA". It matches the Rfam family "Bacterial small subunit ribosomal RNA", at positions 493 to 776 of the family's 1533-position model. The record is from RNAcentral. Lineage: Bacteria; Bacillati; Bacillota; Clostridia; Lachnospirales; Lachnospiraceae.
UAUGGUAAUUGUGUGCAGCCGCGGUAAUACGUAGGGGGCAAGCGUUAUCCGGAUUUACUGGGUGUAAAGGGAGCGUAGACGGAGCAGCAAGUCUGAUGUGAAAACCCGGGGCUCAACCCCGGGACUGCAUUGGAAACUGUUGAUCUGGAGUGCCGGAGAGGUAAGCGGAAUUCCUAGUGUAGCGGUGAAAUGCGUAGAUAUUAGGAGGAACACCAGUGGCGAAGGCGGCUUACUGGACGGUAACUGACGUUGAGGCUCGAAAGCGUGGGGAGCAAACAGG